Molecule: ribosomal RNA, 508 nt
Filed under: uncultured bacterium
Lineage: Bacteria
Description: partial 16S ribosomal RNA
Rfam family: Bacterial small subunit ribosomal RNA
Source: RNAcentral
GAUGAACGCUAGCUACAGGCUUAACACAUGCAAGUCGAGGGGAAACGACAUCGAAAGCUUGCUUUUGAUGGGCGUCGACCGGCGCACGGGGGAGUAACGCGUAUCCAACCUGCCCACCACUUGGGGAUAACCUUGCGAAAGUAAGACUAAUACCCAAUGACGUCUCUAGAAGACAUCUGAAAGAGAUUAAAGAAUUAUCGGUGAUGGAUGGGGAUGCGUCUGAUUAGCUUGUUGGCGGGGUAACGGCCCACCAAGGCGACGAUCAGUAGGGGUUCUGAGAGGAAGGUCCCCCACAUUGGAACUGAGACACGGUCCAAACUCCUACGGGAGGCAGCAGUGAGGAAUAUUGGUCAAUGGGCGAGAGCCUGAACCAGCCAAGUAGCGUGCAGGAUGACGGCCCUAUGGGUUGUAAACUGCUUUUAUAAGGGAAUAAAGUGAGUCUCGUGAGACUUUUUGCAUGUACCUUAUGAAUAAGGACCGGCUAAUUCCGUGCCAGCCGCCGCCGUAA